This 242-nucleotide ribosomal RNA is filed under the name uncultured bacterium. RNAcentral's name for it is "partial 16S ribosomal RNA". It matches the Rfam family "Bacterial small subunit ribosomal RNA", at positions 8 to 234 of the family's 1533-position model. The record is from RNAcentral.
AGAGUUUGAUCAUGGCUCAGAAUUAACGCUGGCGGCAUGCCUAACGCAUGCAAGUCGCACGAGAAAGCCCGGUUCGCCGGGCGAGUAAAGUGGCGCACGGGUGAGUAACGCGUGGAUAAUCUACCUCUAUCUGGGGGAUAACCCAUCGAAAGGUGGGCUAAUACCGCAUAAUCCGGCUGGUUUUCGGACUGGUUGGCAAAGGUGGCCUCUUGAUCAAAGCUACCGGGUGGAGAUGAGUCCGC